UAGAUUUGCAUGAAAAAAAGAUUAGUUACAAUUUAGAUAGUUAUAAAAUUCAUAAAUGUUAUAGUAAUAAAAUGACAGUUCUUUUGAAUAAUCUAGGUAAAGAGUGUUUAAAUCUUAAAGAAUGUAUUUUAUAUUUAUAUAAUUCAAUUAAUGAUUGUAAUUUAAUGAAAUGUGCUUGUUGGGUUGACGGUGAACAUGAAGAUGAGCAUAAUAAAAAAGAGCAAAAAAAUUAUUUUGAAAAAAAAAAUAUAUCUCUUAUUUUGGAAACUGAAAAAUGUAAAAAAACGAAUGAUAAUAAUUUUGCUUUUACAAAAAAUGAUCAAUUAAACAACCAUAUGAAUUUGUAUAAAGAAAACAACUUUUUAGUACCAAAUGGUAAUGUUAAUUUAGAUGAAUUAAAAAAAGGAACAAGUGAAUCAUGUCCAAAUGAAAAUAUUGUUUUUUCGAACGACGCCGUGAGCUGUGAGUUAGGCAACAUUGCUGUUAGUCAGGGUGAUAAACACCAGAAUAAUAAGUACCUAACGGAUGCGAAAAAACACAAUGACAUAUGUAUUGGACAAAACGAAAUGAUAAAAAAAGAGGAUAACUAUUUUGAUAAAGGUGAACAAGCAGGAGUAGAAGUCGAAACCGAAACGGAAGAUACAACAUUAUUAUAUAACGAUUUUUUAAAAAAGAACGAAGUGAAUAACGAAAGAGAUUUGGUUAGCAUUGAAAAUAAAAAUGAAAGUUUGUUAAAUAAUUUGAACGAAACUAGUAAUGAUAAAAAAAAUAAAACAACAUUUUCGUUAAAAGAUGCAGAGCAAAUCAGUUCUUUUCUUAAAAAUGAUUUUUUAAUAAAAAAAUAUGAGCUUAAGAAUUUAUCUUUGUGUGAAAAAAUUGGUGGAUAUGAAAAAGAUGAGGAAAAAAACAAAAAAAUAAAAUUUAUGAAGGUUAUGAUAGAAAAUACGCCUUUAACAGUAAUUUUAUGUAAUAAAGGUAAUGAAAUAUGUAAAGAAAUAGUUAACAAAUAUUCGAGGUAUUAUCGAGAUUUUUAUGAAGAAAGGAUA
This 1046-nucleotide long non-coding RNA is filed under the name Piliocolobus tephrosceles (Ugandan red Colobus). RNAcentral describes it as "lncRNA (ENSPTEG00000011737.1)". The record is from RNAcentral. Lineage: Eukaryota; Metazoa; Chordata; Mammalia; Primates; Cercopithecidae.